RNAcentral lists this unclassified non-coding RNA (318 nucleotides) under uncultured Bordetella sp. RNAcentral's name for it is "partial 16S-23S ribosomal RNA intergenic spacer". It matches the Rfam family "Bacterial small subunit ribosomal RNA", at positions 10 to 338 of the family's 1533-position model. The record is from RNAcentral. Lineage: Bacteria; Pseudomonadati; Pseudomonadota; Betaproteobacteria; Burkholderiales; Alcaligenaceae.
GGUUUGAUUAUGGCUCAGAUUGAACGCUGGCGGGAUGCUUUACACAUGCAAGUCGAACGGCAGCACGGACUUCGGUCUGGUGGCGAGUGGCGAACGGGUGGGUAAUGUAUCGGAACGUGCCUAGUAGCGAGGAUAACUACGCGAAAGCGUAGCUAAUACCGCAUACCCUUCGGGGGAAAGCGGGGGACCUUCGGGCCUCGCACUAUUAGAGCGAUAUCGGAUUAGCUAGUUGGUGGGGUAACGGCUCGCAAGGCGACGAUCCGUAGCUGGUUUGAGGAGGACGACCAGCCACACUGGGAUGAGACACGGCCCAGACUU